UACGGCCUCAUCAAGUUGAAACAACGAUUCCCGUACGAUUACUGAAGUUAAGCAACGUCGAGCCUAACCAGUACCUUGAUGGGUGACCGUUUGAUAAUACCACGUGCUGUAAGC
Non-coding RNA from Acanthosepion pharaonis, 114 nucleotides. The record is from the annotation of a GenBank genome assembly. Lineage: Eukaryota; Metazoa; Mollusca; Cephalopoda; Sepiida; Sepiidae.